Molecule: unclassified non-coding RNA, 311 nt
Filed under: plant metagenome
Description: partial contains 5.8S ribosomal RNA, internal transcribed spacer 2, and large subunit ribosomal RNA
Rfam family: 5.8S ribosomal RNA (bases 1-105)
Source: RNAcentral
GAAAUGCGAUAAGUAGUGUGAAUUGCAGAAUUCAGUGAAUCAUCGAAUCUUUGAACGCACAUUGCGCCCUCUGGCAUUCCGGGGGGCAUGCCUGUCCGAGCGUCAUUACGCACCCUCAAGCCCGGCUUGUGUGAUGGGCCCUGGCGUCUCGUUCGCGAGACGGGCCCGAAAGGCAGCGGCGGCGUCGACCCGAUGAGCCCGAGCGUAUGGGGACUUUUGUCACACGUUUGCGGUGCGGACCGGCGCCUGCUUGACUUUUCUGAUUAUCCAGGUUGACCUCGGAUCAGGUAGGGAUACCCGCUGAACUUAAG